GCCAGCAGCUCCUCCGGGAGUCUCCUUUAAUUUCGGAAAGAAGGUGGACAGCUCUGUGCUCGGGGCGCUGUCGUCAGGUGGAGCGCCGUCGUUCUCCUUCUCCUCUUCGUCUUCUUCUUCUGCUGUGUUUGGCUCAGCCGUCAGUAGCGUCAGUCCUGUGGUCAACUCGGACAGCAACAGCCAGACUGCAGAUGAGAACGGGGAGGACUCUGAGGAGCCGCCGG
RNAcentral lists this unclassified non-coding RNA (224 nucleotides) under Hevea brasiliensis (rubber tree). Lineage: Eukaryota; Viridiplantae; Streptophyta; Magnoliopsida; Malpighiales; Euphorbiaceae. The record is from RNAcentral.